This 253-nucleotide ribosomal RNA is filed under the name uncultured bacterium. Its description in RNAcentral is "partial 16S ribosomal RNA". It matches the Rfam family "Bacterial small subunit ribosomal RNA", at positions 524 to 776 of the family's 1533-position model. The record is from RNAcentral.
UACAGAGGGUGCGAGCGUUGUCCGGAAUCACUGGGCGUAAAGGGCGCGUAGGUGGUGACCUAAGCGUGCGGUGAAAGCCCGAGGCUCAACCUCGGGUCGGCCGUGCGAACUGGGUCACUGGAGCAGAAUAGAGGCAGGUGGAAUUCCGGGUGUAGCGGUGGAAUGCGUAGAGAUCCGGAAGAACACCGGUGGCGAAGGCGGCCUGCUGGGUUCUGGCUGACACUGAGGCGCGGCAGCGUGGGGAGCAAACAGG